UUCCACAGCUACUGGUCUGCAGCUGUUCUGCUGGUGGCAGUUGUGGCAUUCCUCCAUGGGAAAGGAAUUGUUAUAUGAUUAAACACCUCUUUCUUAGCAAAACAAAGUUUGCAUGUGUGUUACAAACACAA
This is a small nucleolar RNA of Pteronotus mesoamericanus, 131 nucleotides long. RefSeq annotates it as small nucleolar RNA SNORA41. NCBI's taxonomy places the organism in Eukaryota, Metazoa, Chordata, Mammalia, Chiroptera, Mormoopidae. The record is from RefSeq and is a predicted model, not a curated record. The transcript has a single exon.